GGGGCAUACAAAGUGUGUGCACUGUUUUACAACUGCUGACCUCAUCUAAUUGUAUCACAUGUCUGCAGGGGUGUGCAAAUCCAAAUAUCAGUGAUAAUGAUGCAAAGUAAUUAUCAAAACCAUUAUGGCUAACAAAGCUUUUAUUUUCCGGUAACCUAGUACUCCAAUAGUCUGUCAGUCCAUUGCAUUGUAAAUACUCUUCAAAAGCCUCCACCCUGCUGCUUAUUGCUUCUGCACUUGUUUACCAUGGAAACAUUGCACAAAGAAUCUAUGCUAAAAUCUUUUUCUUUUUUGGGGGGGGGGAAUGCAAGACACCUGAUCUGACAUGUCAUUCACUUAGCUCAACAUUUUAAUGCAUGCAAUACUAUCCUGCAGAUAUGGGUGUGUUUUCUAAAAACUAAUUUCAACAGUUCCCAGUGGGGAAAUUAAACUGUAGCCGUCAGCUCAUUCUUACCUAUGCGGCUUCCUAUGUGAGCACACAAAUGAGCAGGGAGGGGAGCCCUCAGUUUAAAUGGUUCGGUUUGCAAAUACAUUAUUCAUGUUCAUCCAGCAAACACUAAUAUAUUUUACCUGUCGCUAUUUUUUUUUUUUUUUUUUUUUUUUUUUUUUUUUUUUAAUUCAUUAUAUUGAGACUUUUUCCCCCACUUGCCUUAAACUUGGUGAACGAAUUCUGGGAUAUGUUGUGAUAUUUCUUAGAGGCAGUUGUCUCCUCACACUACAAGCCCUGAAUGUCACUAAUGAUUCCUCAAGAAAUAAAAUCACCCUCACUUUAGCAGAGAAUAUUCCCCGAGGGGUUACCAAACAGGGGAAAAUUGCAAAUGUCAGUUUGUGGCAAAACUGUUUGACAGGUGAAAAGGCAUUCACAGUAAUGAGCAGCUUACAUCACCCACAGCGCACUCCGCCCCCCCCCAUUCAAUUUCUGAUGGCCAGUAUGGUUGCUCUUAUAAAAUUUUAAGAUGACUGAAUUUUAUAAUUCAAAAUGUUACUUGUUCUGAAAGGAUUACUGAAGUCUCCAAACUUGAAGAGCUUCUUAACGAUGUCUUGGCUGCCAACAAAUUGGUGCUGUAACACUCAUGAACUGGCAUGUGAAUUCUAUCACUUCAACCAAAUAGGUGAGGUGUCAAGAUCAGUAUCCAGCUUAUUGGAAGUGAUUAAGAACAACUAAAAAUUUGUAAAUGGGAUGCUGCCAGAAAGCGUAAAUUGCUGAUGGAAAAGCAGAGGGAAUGGGAGGGAGCCUGCUAAGCUGUGAAUGGCCUUCUCAUAGUGAGGUAACAACAAAUUAGGAUGUCAGGAUGUAGGUGUAAACAUCCAACACCUUCUGACAUUGGUCCCAACACUUUGUGUCUAAAAAAAAAAGUGUUUUUAAACACUCUUAAAACAGUCUUCAUUGU
Molecule: long non-coding RNA, 1391 nt
Organism: Astatotilapia calliptera (eastern happy)
Lineage: Eukaryota; Metazoa; Chordata; Actinopteri; Cichliformes; Cichlidae
Source: Ensembl